Molecule: ribosomal RNA, 497 nt
Filed under: uncultured bacterium
Lineage: Bacteria
Description: partial 16S ribosomal RNA
Rfam family: Bacterial small subunit ribosomal RNA
Source: RNAcentral
GAUGAACGCUGGCGGCGUGCCUAAUACAUGCGAGUCGAGCGAACAGACGAGGAGCUUGCUCCUCUGACGUUAGCGGCGGACGGGUGAGUAACACGUGGAUAACCUACCUAUCAGACUGGGAUAACUUCGGGAAACCGGAGCUAAUACCGGAUAAUAUAUUGAACCGCAUGGUUCAAUAGUGAAAGACGGUUUUGCUGUCACUUAUAGAUGGAUCCGCGCCGCAUUAGCUAGUUGGUAAGGUAACGGCUUACCAAGGCGACGAUGCGUAGCCGACCUGAGAGGGUGAUCGGCCACACUGGAACUGAGACACGGUCCAGACUCCUACGGGAGGAAGCAGUAGGGAAUCUUCCGCAAUGGGCGAAAGCCUGACGGAGCAACGCCGCGUGAGUGAUGAAGGUCUUCGGAUCGUAAAACUCUGUUAUUAGGGAAGAACAAAUGUGUAAGUAACUAUGCACGUCUUGACGGUACCUAAUCAGAAAGCCACGGCUAACUACGUG